This 135-nucleotide non-coding RNA is filed under the name Filamoeba nolandi. Lineage: Eukaryota; Evosea; Variosea. The record is from RNAcentral.
UAAGAGAAUCCUGGAAAGACACAAGCAAAAGGAAAAAGAAGAGAAGGAAAAAGCCAAACAGGAACAAACCACCAACGAGGUCCAAAACUAGCUAGCUGAUUGUAAUUUACGUAUUUAUUGAAUUUAGCUUUUUUU